GAUUUCUACAAUCAUAAGCGGAGGAAAAGAAACUAACAAGGAUUCCCCUAGUAACUGCGAGUGAAGCGGGAAAAGCUCAAAUUUAAAAUCGGGUGGCUUYGGCCCUUCGAGUUGUAAUUUAGAGAAGCGUAUUCCGCGCUGGACCGUGCACAAGUCUCCUGGAAUGGAGCGUCAUAGAGGGUGAGAAUCCCGUCUUUGGCACGGACGCACCAGGGCUUCUGUGAUGCGCUCUCGAAGAGUCGAGUUGUUUGGGAAUGCAGCUCAAAAUGGGUGGUGAACUCCAUCUAAAGCUAAAUAUUGGCGAGAGACCGAUAGCGAACAAGUACCGUGAGGGAAAGAUGAAAAGCACUUUGGAAAGAGAGUGAAACAGUACGUGAAAUUGUUGAAAGGGAAACGCUUGAAGUCAGUCGCGUCGACCGAGACUCAGCCUUGCCUCGGCUUGGUGUACUUCUCGGCUGACGGGUCAGCAUCAAUUUUGCCCCUUGGAUAAUGGCGAGGGAAAUGUGACACCUUUGCGGGUGUGUUAUAGUCUCCCGUCGCAUGCAAGGGUCGGGAUUGAGGAACUCAGCACGCGCCUUUGGGCGUCGGGGCUUUGCCCACGAUACGUGCUUAGGAUGUUGGCGUAAUGGCUUUAAACGACCCGUCUUGAAACACGGACCAAGGAGUCUAACAUGCCCGCGAGUGUUCGGGUGGAAAACCCGUGCGCGCAAUGAAAGUGAAAGUUGGGACCUCUGUCGUGGAGGGCACCGACGCCCGGACCAGACCUUCUGUGACGGAUCUGCGGUGGAGCGUGUAUGUUAGGACCCGAAAGAUGGUGAACUAUGCCUGAAUAGGGUGAAGCCAGAGGAAACUCUGGUGGAGGCUCGUAGCGAUUCUGACGUGCAAAUCGAUCGUCAAAUUUGGGUAUAGGGGCGAAGACUAAUCGACCAUCUAGACGGCG
This 940-nucleotide ribosomal RNA is filed under the name Russula sp. Its description in RNAcentral is "partial 28S large subunit ribosomal RNA". It matches the Rfam family "Eukaryotic large subunit ribosomal RNA", at positions 31 to 953 of the family's 3401-position model. The record is from RNAcentral. Lineage: Eukaryota; Fungi; Basidiomycota; Agaricomycetes; Russulales; Russulaceae.